RNAcentral lists this ribosomal RNA (372 nucleotides) under Penicillium sp. Its description in RNAcentral is "eukaryotic LSU rRNA". It matches the Rfam family "Eukaryotic large subunit ribosomal RNA", at positions 85 to 454 of the family's 3401-position model. Lineage: Eukaryota; Fungi; Ascomycota; Eurotiomycetes; Eurotiales; Aspergillaceae. The record is from RNAcentral.
CACGGCGAGUGAGCGGCAAGAGCUCAAAUUUGAAAGCUGGCUCCUUCGGGGUCCGCAUUGUAAUUUGCAGAGGAUGCUUCGGGAGCGGUCCCCAUCUAAGUUCCCUGGAACGGGACGUCAUAGAGGGUGAAAAUCCCGUAUGGGAUGGGGUGUCCGCGCCCGUGUGAAGCUCCUUCGACGAGUCGAGUUGUUUGGGAAUGCAGCUCUAAAUGGGUGGUAAAUUUCAUCUAAAGCUAAAUAUUGGCCGGAGACCGAUAGCGCACAAGUAGAGUGAUCGAAAGAUGAAAAGCACUUUGAAAAGAGAGUUAAAAAGCACGUGAAAUUGUUGAAAGGGAAGCGCUUGCGACCAGACUCGCUCGCGGGGUUCAGCCG